AACGUAGGGUGCAAGCGUUGUCCGGAAUUACUGGGUGUAAAGGGAGCGCAGGCGGACCGGCAAGUUGGAAGUGAAAUCCAUGGGCUCAACCCGUGAAUUGCUUUCAAAACUGCUGGCCUUGAGUAGUGCAGAGGUAGGUGGAAUUCCCGGUGUAGCGGUGGAAUGCGUAGAUAUCGGGAGGAACACCAGUGGCGAAGGCGACCUACUGGGCACCAACUGACGCUGAGGCUCGAAAGCAUGGGUAGCAAACAGG
Molecule: ribosomal RNA, 253 nt
Filed under: uncultured bacterium
Lineage: Bacteria
Description: partial 16S ribosomal RNA
Rfam family: Bacterial small subunit ribosomal RNA
Source: RNAcentral